This 75-nucleotide small RNA is filed under the name Arabidopsis thaliana (thale cress). RNAcentral's name for it is "ATSL295770". The record is from RNAcentral. Lineage: Eukaryota; Viridiplantae; Streptophyta; Magnoliopsida; Brassicales; Brassicaceae.
CAACAGUGAUGACCGAGUGAAGAAUAAGAAGAAGAAGAAGAAACUUAUGUAACACUUUGGUCAGAUCAGUGAACA